GCAGAACGCGAAGAACCUUACCCACCUUUGACAUGUACGGAAGUUGCCAGAGAUGGCUCCGUGCUCGAAAGAGAGCCGUAACACAGGUGCUGCAUGGCUGUCGUCAGCUCGUGUCGUGAGAUGUUGGGUUAAGUCCCGCAACGAGCGCAACCCUUGUCAUUAGUUGCUACGAAAGGGCACUCUAAUGAGACUGCCGGUGACAAACCGGAGGAAGGUGGGGAUGACGUCAAGUCCUCAUGGCCCUUAUAGGUGGGGCUACACACGUCAUACAAUGGCCGGUACAAAGGGCAGCCAACCCGCGAGGGGGAGCUAAUCCCAUAAAGCCGGUCGUAGUCCGGAUCGCAGUCUGCAACUCGACUGCGUGAAGUCGGAAUCGCUAGUAAUCGUGGAUCAGCGUGUCACAGUGAAUACGUUCCCGGGUCUUGUACACACCG
Molecule: ribosomal RNA, 434 nt
Filed under: uncultured bacterium
Lineage: Bacteria
Description: bacterial SSU rRNA
Rfam family: Bacterial small subunit ribosomal RNA
Source: RNAcentral